This 250-nucleotide ribosomal RNA is filed under the name uncultured bacterium. RNAcentral's name for it is "partial 16S ribosomal RNA". It matches the Rfam family "Bacterial small subunit ribosomal RNA", at positions 524 to 773 of the family's 1533-position model. The record is from RNAcentral.
GACGAACCGUGCGAACGUUGUUCGGAAUCACUGGGCAUAAAGGGCGCGUAGGCGGCUUUUCAAGUCAGGGGUGAAAUCCGGCAGCUCAACUGUCGAAGUGCCUUUGAUACUGGGAAGCUCGAGGGAGGUAGGGGUGUGUGGAACUUCCGGUGGAGCGGUGAAAUGCGUUGAUAUCGGAAGGAACGCCGGUGGCGAAAGCGACGCACUGGACCUCUUCUGACGCUGAGGCGCGAAAGCCAGGGGAGCAAAC